RNAcentral lists this unclassified non-coding RNA (307 nucleotides) under plant metagenome. RNAcentral describes it as "partial contains 5.8S ribosomal RNA, internal transcribed spacer 2, and large subunit ribosomal RNA". The stretch from base 1 to 105 matches the Rfam family "5.8S ribosomal RNA", at positions 50 to 154 of the family's 154-position model. The record is from RNAcentral.
GAAAUGCGAUAAGUAAUGUGAAUUGCAGAAUUCAGUGAAUCAUCGAAUCUUUGAACGCACAUUGCGCCCGCCAGCACUCUGGCGGGCAUGCCUGUUCGAGCGUCAUUUCAACCCUCAGAACCCCUUGCGGGAUCUGGCGUUGGGGAUUGGCAUCCAGCCAGCCCCGAGAUCUAGUGGCGGUCCCUCCGCGACCUCCCCUGUGCAGUAGCGAUACCUCGCAGCGGGACAGCGGUCUGACCACGCCGUAAAACCCCCAACUUCUCAAGGUUGACCUCGAAUCAGGUAGGAAUACCCGCUGAACUUAAGC